RNAcentral lists this ribosomal RNA (490 nucleotides) under Papilio ulysses telegonus. RNAcentral's name for it is "partial 16S ribosomal RNA". Lineage: Eukaryota; Metazoa; Arthropoda; Insecta; Lepidoptera; Papilionidae. The record is from RNAcentral.
AAACAUGUCUUUUUGGGAAUAAUUUAAAGUCUAAUUUUCCCACUGAUNAAAUUAUUAAAGGGCUGCAGUAUUUUGACUGUACAAAGGUAGCAUAAUCAUUAGUCUCUUAAUUGGUGACUUGUAUGAAGGAUUGGAUGAGAUAUAUACUGUCUCUAAUUAAUUUAUAAAAUUUAAUUUUUUAGUAAAAAAGCUAAAAUAAUUUUAAAAGACGAGAAGACCCUAUAGAGUUUAAUAAUUUAUUUAAUUAUUAUUAAUUUGUAAAUUUUAAAAUUAAAAUUAAAUGAAUUAUUUUAUUGGGGUGAUAGAAAAAUUAAAUUAACUUUUUUUUUAUAUUAAACAUUAAUUUAUGAUUAUAUGAUCCAUUAUUAUUGAUUAUAAGAAAAAAUUACCUUAGGGAUAACAGCGUAAUUUUUUUUUUUAGUUCAAAUAGGAAAAAAAGUUUGCGACCUCGAUGUUGGAUUAAGAUAAAAUUUAAAUGCAAAAGUUUAAA